RNAcentral lists this ribosomal RNA (492 nucleotides) under uncultured bacterium. RNAcentral describes it as "partial 16S ribosomal RNA". It matches the Rfam family "Bacterial small subunit ribosomal RNA", at positions 29 to 507 of the family's 1533-position model. The record is from RNAcentral.
AGUGAACGCUGGCGGUAGGCCUAACACAUGCAAGUCGAACGGCAGCACAGUAAGAGCUUGCUCUUACGGGUGGCGAGUGGCGGACGGGUGAGGAAUACAUCGGAAUCUACUUUUUCGUGGGGGAUAACGUAGGGAAACUUACGCUAAUACCGCAUACGACCUACGGGUGAAAGCAGGGGAUCUUCGGACCUUGCGCGAUUGAAUGAGCCGGUGUCGGAUUAGCUAGUUGGCGGGGUAAAGGCCCACCAAGGCGACGAUCCGUAGCUGGUCUGAGAGGAUGGUCAGCCACACUGGAACGGAGACACGGUCCAGACUCCUACGGGAGGCAGCAGUGGGGAAUAUUGGACAAUGGGCGCAAGCCUGAUCCAGCCAUACCGCGUGGGUGAAGAAGGCCUUCGGGUUGUAAAGCCCUUUUGUUGGGAAAGAAAAGCAGCAGGUUAAUACCCCGCUGUUCUGACGGUACCCAAAGAAUAAGCACCGGCUAACUUCGUG